Molecule: ribosomal RNA, 131 nt
Organism: Cavia porcellus (domestic guinea pig)
Lineage: Eukaryota; Metazoa; Chordata; Mammalia; Rodentia; Caviidae
Source: Ensembl
UGUGGCCAUACAUACCACCCUGAAGGCGCCUGAUCUCAUCUGAUCUCGGAAGCUGAGCAGGGUUGGGCCUAGUUAGUACUUGGAUGGGAAGACUACUAUUUAAGGGCUGGGAAUUUAGCUCAGUGGGAUAA